AUGGCCAAGACUUGCUUCAAGACCGAGCACCCCCUGGAAAGGAGGCAAGCUGAAUCUGCUAGGAUCCGUGAGAAGUACGCUGACAGAAUUCCGGUGAUCGUUGAGAAGGCUGAUAAGUCUGAUCUCCCGAAAAUUGAUAAGAGGUACCUUGUCCCUAACGAGAUGCUAAACCCGCCAGUCCGCGACCCAUCUCGCCUCAACGAGCGUAGUUCUACUAUGGCUGGCGCACCGUUCUGCUGUUGCGGCCUCAAGCCGGCGCCCCCGAGCUUCCUCCUCUGCCAUGGCUCUUCGCGGCUGCCACACAAACACGGCAUGUCACCGCGGCCUACUUCAACUCGCCCGCUUUCUCCCGUGCGCCCGUGUCACUGCCUCUGCUAUCCCAUGGCUGCGCACUGCCCCGAGCCUCGCCAUGGCCGUGCGUCUCCUCCACUGGCAGGCCCGCCACCAAGCACCUCCUCUGCAUGGCUCGUGCGCCUCUGUCUCGGCCACCGGCCGCAGCCGUGCCUCGCCUACCGCGCUUCUCCGCGGCAUCGGCUCCCCGGUCGUCCAGCGCCCGCCUGUCGGCGGCUGACCCCUCUGGUGCUACUCUAG
This 591-nucleotide ribosomal RNA is filed under the name Triticum aestivum (bread wheat). Its description in RNAcentral is "partial small subunit ribosomal RNA". Lineage: Eukaryota; Viridiplantae; Streptophyta; Magnoliopsida; Poales; Poaceae. The record is from RNAcentral.